AUUGAACGCUGGCGGCAUGCCUUACACAUGCAAGUCGAACGGCAGCACGGGGGCAACCCUGGUGGCGAGUGGCGAACGGGUGAGUAAUACAUCGGAACGUAUCCUGUUGUGGGGGAUAACUAGUCGAAAGAUUAGCUAAUACCGCAUGACCUCGGAAGAGAAAAGCAGGGGACCUGGAGACGGGCCUUGCGCGAUUGGAGCGGCCGAUGUCCGAUUAGCAGUUGGUGGGGUAAAGGCCUACCAAGGCGACGAUCGGUAGCUGGUCUGAGAGGAUGAUCAGCCACACUGGGACUGAGACACGGCCCAGACUCCUACGGGAGGUAGCAGUGGGGAAUUGUUCACAAUGGGCGCAAGCCUGAUGACGCAACGCCGCGUGGGGGAUGAAGGUCUUCGGAUCGUAAACCCCUGUCGAAUGGGACGAAGACUCGCGAGUGAAUACUUCGCGAGAGUGACGGUA
RNAcentral lists this ribosomal RNA (457 nucleotides) under uncultured bacterium. RNAcentral's name for it is "bacterial SSU rRNA". It matches the Rfam family "Bacterial small subunit ribosomal RNA", at positions 29 to 477 of the family's 1533-position model. The record is from RNAcentral.